GCACAAGCAGCGGAGCGUGUGGUUUAAUUCGAUGCUACACGAAGAACCUUACCAGGUCUUGACAUCCCGAUGCUAUUUCUAGAGAUAGAAAGUUACUUCGGUACAUCGGUGACAGGUGGUGCAUGGUUGUCGUCAGCUCGUGUCGUGAGAUGUUGGGUUAAGUCCCGCAACGAGCGCAACCCCUAUUGUUAGUUGCCAUCAUUCAGUUGGGCACUCUAGCGAGACUGCCGGUAAUAAACCGGAGGAAGGUGGGGAUGACGUCAAAUCAUCAUGCCCCUUAUGACCUGGGCUACACACGUGCUACAAUGGUUGGUACAACGAGUUGCGAGUCGGUGACGGCGAGCUAAUCUCUUAAAGCCAAUCUCAGUUCGGAUUGUAGGCUGCAACUCGCCUACAUGAAGUCGGAAUCGCUAGUAAUCGCGGAUCAGCACGCCGCGGUGAAUACGUUCCCGGGCCUU
Molecule: ribosomal RNA, 458 nt
Filed under: uncultured Streptococcus sp.
Lineage: Bacteria; Bacillati; Bacillota; Bacilli; Lactobacillales; Streptococcaceae
Description: bacterial SSU rRNA
Rfam family: Bacterial small subunit ribosomal RNA
Source: RNAcentral